This 332-nucleotide ribosomal RNA is filed under the name uncultured bacterium. Its description in RNAcentral is "bacterial SSU rRNA". It matches the Rfam family "Bacterial small subunit ribosomal RNA", at positions 568 to 898 of the family's 1533-position model. The record is from RNAcentral.
UCCGUAGGCGGUGCGGCAAGUCGAUAGUGAAAUCCCUGGGCUUAACUCAGGGGGCUGCUAACGAAACUGCCGUGCUAGAGUGUGAGAGAGGCGAGUGGAAUUACGGGUGUAGCGGUGAAAUGCGUAGAUAUCCGUAGGAACAUCCGAGGCGAAAGCGGCUCGCUGGAUCACAACUGACGCUGAGGGACGAAAGCUAGGGGAGCAAACAGGAUUAGAUACCCUGGUAGUCCUAGCCCUAAACCAUCAGGACUUGGGGUUUGCCCUGUACGGGGCAAGUCCCGUAGCUAACGCGUUAAGUCCUGCGCCUGGGGGAGUACGGUCGCAAGGCUGAA